AGCAGCCGCGGUAAUUCCAGCUCCAAUAGCGUAUAUUAAAGUUGUUGCAGUUAAAAAGCUCGUAGUUGAAUUUCGGGGUUCCACCGUUGGUCGGGCUAUUGUUUGUACUGGCGUGUGGAAUUUCUACCUUCUGGGGAACUAUCAUGUUAUUAAUUUAGCGUGGUAGGAAACCAGGACCUUUACCUUGAAAAAAUUAGAGUGUUCAAAGCAGGCUUAUGUCUGAAUACAUUAGCAUGGAAUAAUAAAAUAGGACGGUGGUCCUGUUUGUUGGUUUCUGAAUCACCGUAAUGAUUAAUAGGGAUAGUUGGGGGCAUUAGUAUUCAAUUGUCAGAGGUGAAAUUCUUGGAUUUAUUGAAGACUAACUACUGCGAAAGCAUUUGCCAAGGAUGUUUUCAUUAAUCAAGAACGAAAGUUAGGGGAUCGAAGACGAUCGGAUACCGUCGUAGUCUU
Molecule: ribosomal RNA, 450 nt
Filed under: uncultured Glomeromycotina
Lineage: Eukaryota; Fungi; Glomeromycota
Description: SSU rRNA
Rfam family: Eukaryotic small subunit ribosomal RNA
Source: RNAcentral